UACGUAGGUGACAAGCGUUGUCCGGAUUUACUGGGCGUAAAGAGCGCGCAGGCGGUCGAUCAAGUCGAGUGUGAAAGCCCCCGGCUCAACUGGGGAGGGUCAUUCGAUACUGAUCGACUCGAAGGCAGGAGAGGGUAGUGGAAUUCCCGGUGUAGUGGUGAAAUGCGUAGAUAUCGGGAGGAACACCAGUGGCGAAGGCGACUACCUGGCCUGUUCUUGACGCUGAGGCGCGAAAGCUAGGGGAGCAAACAGGG
This 254-nucleotide ribosomal RNA is filed under the name uncultured bacterium. RNAcentral's name for it is "partial 16S ribosomal RNA". It matches the Rfam family "Bacterial small subunit ribosomal RNA", at positions 524 to 777 of the family's 1533-position model. The record is from RNAcentral.